Molecule: transfer RNA, 69 nt
Filed under: Marmota monax (woodchuck)
Lineage: Eukaryota; Metazoa; Chordata; Mammalia; Rodentia; Sciuridae
Description: tRNA.Val
Source: RNAcentral
GGGGUUGUGGCUUAGUGGUAGAGCUCUUGCCUAACACGUGCAAGGAGCUAGCUUCGAACCUCAGCACCA